UUUAUUAUGGUUUUGUUUGUUACCAAGGUCAAAGGUUGCUUUUCACCAUUUGUCAGUAGAGACUGUAUUUUAGUGUAUAUCAGUCUUUGGGUGCUUGAUAAAAUGUGUGGAUUCUCAGACCCCUUCAAAUAAAACUCAUAUGCAGGAGUCAGUAUGAGUAGCAAGCUCCCUCCCAUGUGAUACACCUGGUUCUUUGAGAAACUUCUGCCUGAAGGUAUAUCUUCAAAACUAACUCAUUAAUAUUACCUCAUCGUUAACACAUUUUUCAUUACAUAUUCUAAACUAGUCUUAAAAUAAGCAAGACUUUGCUGUUAAGAUGAUUAUUUUAUUUAGGAAUGUACUUAAAUAUUUUAGUUUUCUGUGAGCUCUCUUGCUUUAGCUCAUAGCAGGAUUGAGUUGAUGUGAGGUCACGUUACCAUUUUAUCUUUACAGAAAGCCUGUGGGGUAGGUACACAGGUGUUAUCAUCUUCAUUUUAUACACUGUAAGUUAGACAAAUGGAAAUUGAAUAACCUUCCCUUAGCCACCAUGACAAUGGCAGCUGAGCUGGGCUAGAAUGUAUGAAUCAGCACCUGGGCUGAUACUCUUCCCAUGCUACCAGAAUGUAAAUGAUCUAAGCCAGAAGUGUCAAAAAUAUACAUGUAGAAAUAUACAGAACAUGGAUAUAUUACAUAUAUAUUACAACUAUUAUUAGAUGCUGAAAAUUUUAAUUAUAAAAGUUACACUGCUCAUACUUUAGCAAUUUUUAUUUUUAAUUUUUGAGAUUUGGGGUGAUUUCAACAUAUUUUUAGAUGAUAAGCUUGCUUAUCUUAAAGCCUUUAGACUGAGUUCCAGAAGGGCAAAGGGCAUGCAUUUUGUUUCUUGGUUUCUCAUUGCCUCGCCUGGUCUUUGGUGGAGAAUGCCCAGGAUUUCAACAAAUCUUUAAUGAAUAAGUAAAUGCUUGUGUGAAGGAAUAACUCAUAGGUUUUGUGCCAAGAAGGAGCAUUUGAGAAAAAAUCCAUAUUAUUGCACUAAUGUGGGAAAGGAUUAUCAUUGGAGUUUCAGUUUCUAAGUGGGGAGGUCACACGCUCUUGAAUCAUGAGUACAUGGUAGUCAAUUAAGAAGCACAAUGAUCAUAUGAAUAUAUAUUUUCAUAAAAGUGUGGCUAUAUAGUACGGGGCACUAUAGACUUCACAGUUGACCUUCAGUGAAUUAAAACAAGGUGUGCUGGUUAGUUUUACCAGCACAUUUACCAGCACAUUAAAACAAGGUGUGCUGGUUAGUUUUACCAGCUUGACUCAAGCUAGGGUUACCUGGGAAGAGGAAACAUUACCUGGGAAAAUGUUCCAUAGCAAAUGGCCAAUGGGUCAAUCUACUGGAAACCUCUUUCUUAAUCCAGGAUUGAUAUGGAAGAACCCAGCCCACUGUGCGUGGUGCUACCCCCGGGCGAGUGGUCCUGGGUUGUAUAAAAAGACGAAGUGAGUGAGCCUCGGAGAGCAGCCAAGCAUGGUCUCUGCUUCAGGUCUUGCCUCCAGGUUCCUGCUUGAGUUCUUGUAAGCGCUUCCUCUUCACAAUGAAAGUAAAAUAAUCCCACUCCACCUAAAUUCCUUUGGUCUUUAUCAUAAUAGAAAGGAAAGUAGCACAUGGUGGGGGCGGGGAGGGGCAGGGAUUAAUUUCGAAGCAUCGUGAUUUUAGAAACUAUCUCAGAACUCUUCAUAGGACCCAUAAAGGACCUAGUUCUGAAUCUAAAACAAGACCAUCAUUGUGGUUGUGUGGGCACAAGAAACAAGUUUCUUCUUGUUUUACUUCAGAGGUGAUUUGAUAGUACAGUGUUGUUUCUAACAUUUUGUUCCAUGUUUAGUAGAGAGAUUCACUUGUGUAACAUAUAAUACGAUUUUCUUAGUGCCUCUUCCCAAUGCGUAUACAAUCCCCUUAAAGGCACAGUGCUAUUCUAGAACUGGAUUCUUUCUUGUCAGUCAUUCAUAAUAAAUGUUUCCUGUGUGUGGUUUUGGUAGGGUAAUUAUCUAUUUUCAUUCAUUGCCUUGUACAGUUGCAAUUCAGAACCAGUUUGAGAAAGCUUAUUGAAUCAGUAAUUUAAAUGAAGUUUUGGAUAAACUGGUUUCUAUGUAUCUGCUUAGUUCUUCUUUUAAUUAUGUACAACCAACAAUCCUGAGAUCUUAUUUCUCAAAGGUAUGUGCCUAUUAAAAUACCCCUUUCCUGAACAUCCUUGGGAAGGAUUUAAGCGGAGCAAAUACUUUGCACACUUAUGAAGUUCUUCCUGUUUAAUAUUCUGUGCACUGGUUUAAUCCAGCUUUUGGUGCUUAGCUGAGAGCCCCUCCGUGCAGUCUCAGCCUGUUUCAGGCCUUGGUCUGAGCUUGCUCCAGUGUCUGCAUAACCCUGGGAGUUAGCCUUUACUCUUUCAGUGUCAUCAGCCUUUAAUUGUCAAUGUCCUAAAACUUUGUCCUAAGCAUUUUUCACACUAACACGUUUUUUCCAGAGUUUUCUUUUGGAAGACAAGUGAAUAAGGACAUUACUUUGAGUGUUGCUUGGUUAUUAAUCCAUUUCCCUUCUUAUCAGUCUUGUUACUUUGACCUGGGAGUAAAUUCUGGUUUUGGAAUCCUUCUCAAACUGUUUAGCUCUAAUAAAAAAUUUGAAAACUUCCUUCUGCAGUGGUUAUUCUGCAAAAGUGUUUGAUAGCCAUCUUACUGUGCUUCUUUUCUUAAUGGCCCUUUCUUGAUCUUUUAAAAAAUAAUUAUUCUCCUUUAAUUCCAUAGUAUUUAUGAACUCAUAAUAUUUCGUUUUAUUUCACAUUUUUUUCUUAAAAAAUUUACGUAAAAGAUGAUUUUAUUACUUGGUAUAUAGUUGUUUAACACAUUAGAUUUUUUUUUGACCCUGAUUUCUGAUGAAUUAUCAGAGCUCGACAUCUUGAGGUAUUUCUCCCCAGUUUUCAAGUAGGAAUAAAAUAGAAGAGUUUCAUCUCAAACUACCUUUUCUCUAACUUUGAAUCUUCCUUGACACUCUAGAAUAUUAAUAGAAUUAGCAAGAAAACAGCAUUACCUAAAGAGCUCUCUUUCUGCCCUUAAAAGAUCUGAGCACCCAAGCCCAGAGGGCAUCCAACGUGAGCAAGGAAAUGGGCUUUUAGAAAAGAGCCUCAAGGGCUGGAGAGAUGACUAAGUGAUUAAGAGCACUGACUGCUCUUCCAGAGGUCCUGAGUUCAAUUCCUAGCAACCACGUGGUGACUCACAACCAUCUGUAAUGGGAUCUGAUGCCCUCUUCUGGUGUGUCUGAAGAUGGCAACGGUGUACUCACAUACAUAAAAUAAAUAAAUCUUUAAAAAGAAAAAAAAAAAAAAGAAAAAGUUAAGAGCCUCAAAGAACAAUGUUAGCUUUCUAUCUACACUGUUGUAGUUUUCUAGUGAGUAGAUUUCACCUAUGCCAUGCUGUGUCGCUGCCAUACAGGAGACAUGGCGGUGAAUGUAGUAAGUACAUAAAUGAUGACAAGGAUGCCGCUUCACCCUUUCUUUUCCGUUGAUGCCCCUAAUAUUUGGAAUAAUUCAUUUGAGGUAGAGUUACAUAAAAUAUAUUUAGAUUUCUUUACCUCCACUGUCUACUAAAUUAGUGCUUUCUACCUGUGGGUCUCAAAUGAGAACUCUGUUUAUUGAGAGUCAGUUGUGACUUAACAGGUGUUUGAAAAUGAGAAAGAAAGGCAGAUCUACCAUCCAUCCAUCUAUCUAUCUAUCUAUCUAUCUAUCUAUCUAUCUAUCUAUAGAAAGGAGUGGAGGCUGGCCAUGAGCACAUGGAGGCUGGGGGAGGGGAAUGGGAUGGGGAGAGAGAGGGGGAAGAUGGUAAGGGAGCAAGAGCAGGAAAGCAAGAGAGAGAGGAUGGGGGCAAGCAGCCCCUUUUAUAGUGUGUCAGGCACAUCUAGCUAUUGCCAGGUAACUGUGAGGCAGAGCCUAGAUGAAAUGCCAACAAAUGGCAUGAUUUCAUUUUUUUCCCCAUUUAGCGUCUCAUACUAAUUUGGUCCUAAUGGAAAAUUCGACCGACCUUUUGUUGCUAAUGGUUUUGCAGUCUUUAGCCGCAUUUCUGCGCAGCAGCUGAAAUCCUAAUUGGUUGUAGCUUGGGAUAGAUGACUCAGUCUUUUCGGUUUCCUUGUUUGUUAUCAUGGGUGCCCUCUCUGGGUUCCUCAUAGGAUCUAUCUUCUUUUCUUACUCCAGAUUAAUUUUCUAGUUUUCCUCCUUUGCAAUAGCGAUGCCCUGGUUAGGCAUAUCUAUCUCUUAGUCUCUUUUUGUAUCUUGUCUUCUCCAGUCUUGCCCUCAAAUAGGUCAACAUUACAUCAGUUUUUGACCCCUUGCUUCUCUGGAGCCCUCUCACGGUACCGAUACCGUCUCUUCUCAUCAAAUAACAAACCAUGGCCUAGCCUAGCUGCCUCUGUAGUUGAAGGCCUCUCUGUAUUCACUUUUCUGUCUUUCGCUUUUGUUUGCUUUGGGCUGCUCCUGACCUUGUUCCCCCGCAUCCAAGUCUGUUUAUCAGGGAGCCAGAACAGGCAGCUAACUCUCUUGAGAAUCACUGAGAGAGCAGAUGGUCUUGUUUUUGAGACAUAGAAACAACAGCACAAGGGAACCAGGUCCCUUCCUUUUGUUCAUUCAGCCGUAAAGGAGCAGAGCCAGGAUUCAAAUCCUGAUCUUUUAAGCUGACACCGGAAUCUGCUCAUUGGCGUGGAAUAAUACUGACUACCUGUGCAAAGCCUGUGUCUGUGAGUGCUGACAUGACUGUAUCUGGAUUUUCUGUGGUUUUUCUUCCACUCUUGACUGGGUAGUCUAAUGAAUUUUUCAAGUGUUUUGCUUAUUCGUUGAUAUUUCAUACAUACAUGUAUUGAUACUAUCCACCCCAACUUCCUCCUCUCAGCCUGUUGUUUUGGGAACCAUAGUCAUCAAGUACAGUACCAGGCAGUCUGUCCUAGAAUUCAUGAAAUAUUUGCCUCUUAGACCAAGUGAAGAUAUACAGUCCUAGAGAUACUGAUUUAAAAUACAUCCUGAGAAGGGAGGUGAGGAGAGAUGGAUGAUCAGAGCAGGUGAUGGGAAGAAGCCAUUGAUGAAGUGGACUCUUGGGCUUGGAGUCAAAUUUGUGGGCAGCAGAAGCCAGCAGAAUCAGAUGAUCUUAGAUACCCUAGGAGAGUCAAAUCAGCAGCUUGGUCUGAACAAGCCAGGUCCCUUGGAAGGGAACUCAUAUAUACCAGUUCUGGGCUUGGGCACCAGUCAAGAAUUAUAUGACUGCUUCUAGGUAUGGCUAAGGAGAACGUUUUGUUGUAGAAAGGAGGGAGAAAAUAUCCAGAGGCAUAUGGAAGAGUCCAGACUGAACUGGGCCGUGAGAGGAAGGGAAGAGAGCAGAGAAGGUGCUAAGAGGACCAAGAGAGCACAUGGGAACCAAGAGGGCACAUAGCCCACAUGGCUGAGUUAUAUAGGUCUCAGAAACUGGGAAAGAGAAGUGAGGCCCAGCCCAUGAGCUGGAGAGGUUUAGGAUAGAUAGGGAAUAGGGUGAGAAGGGCUGGGAGGGGCCACAGGUACUGAGUAAGACUUGUCCUAGCUUUCUUUGAGACCUAAUAUUAAUACCCCCAACCAGUCAUCAUAUGUCACCAACUAAAAUCCCCAGUACCAGGAAAGGGUUACUUCUUGAGUUGAGGGUCAAAGGAGUCCCCUCAGACAUUAAGUCUAUGAAUAAUAGUAUUGGUCACUGUCUGCAAUGGCUGAAUGUCAUUGAACAUGGAGAACUAGAGCUGGUGCCCAGUGGGAGGCUCCAUCUUUACCAACUAGCAUUCACAGUGCUGGAAGGCAGUAUGCAUGCUACUGGAAGAGAAACAUAAUCAAUACUACACCACUGUGUGCCCUCAGAUCUACAAUAGUGAGCUUGUGAGUAGUGGCAUAAGUGUUACAGUAGUAACCAACCACGUUCUGGCUGGAUUUAAGGCCUGCUCCAUGUAUGACAGGGUUAAAUGGCAAGAACACAAGGCAAGGUUGUCAGCAUUUCUCUGCUCAAUGAACAUAACAAUAAGUGACUCCUAGUGACAUAUUGCCAAACCCGUAGGUCAGUGCAUUGCUCAGCACUGCCAGAGAAGAUUUGUCUUGCAGUAGAUGGUAAGUGACAGCUGUGCCCACAACUAGACAAUAUGCGGACAGUGAGAGACUUUUGAGUACUCAGCCCUAAAUAGGAUGUCUUUAUCACAAGCCUUAGCUCAAGGUUCAGGGACCCAUGUGAAGGAGGAGGUGGAAAGAUUGUAAGAGCCGGACGUGCAUGACUCCAAGGGAACACCAUCUUCCAGACACUUAGCAGGAUGAGUUCCAAAUGGGAAUUCUCAAAGACUCUGACGGCAUAUGCAAGAACUGUGCAAGUUCUAUCCAGACAAAAUGUCAGCAUGGAAAAGGUGAAGUGGACACAAAGUUGAGCCACUAACCAAAAUGGUAUUUGAAAUGGGGAGAAGAGAGAGAAUGUUUUUCCUUGGAGUUAAAGUGUAUAACAGCCACACUCCCGGCUAGGUCCUGUGCUCAGGAGGAGGUGUGUGUGUGUGUGUGUGUGUGUGUGUGUGUGUGUAGUGUGUGUGUGUGUGUGUGUGUGUGUGUAGUGUGUGUGUGUGUGUGUGUGUGUGUGUGUGUCUGUCCUCUUUUGGGGGGGUUGCUUUGACCUUUUUUUCUUAAAGAGCUAGAACACAUGAUGUGAGGAGGAUCUGGGAUGAGUUGGAAGAGGAGGAAAACGAUCAUCAAACUUUUGAAAACGACAAUAACUACAAAGUAAGGCAAACAGUGACCGAGGAGUAAUAGCUGAGAUAACCCUCCAUCCUCCAUGCAUGUACUGUACACGUGAGCACUUGCGUGCACAGAGAAAAUGAGUCUGGAAGAUAGAAGUGUGUUGGAAAUGCCAACAGGAAAGACAGAGAGCAUGUGUUUGUCUUUGGCCUCUUUUAAAUGCCCUCCAAUGCUCUGAGCCUCACAACAGCCUAAAUGAGUAGUUAGUUUUGAUUCUGAUCAUUUCUGUUUUUACAGACUGGGGAUGUAUAUUAUUUCCCAUCAGCAUUUUUUUUUUUAGUAGAAAAGCGAGGUAUUUUUUUAUUACUUUAUAAGAGGCAAACUAAAGUAAAUAUAUGCACAAUAAUAAGAAACACACAUAAUACAAAAUGCUGUGUUCAUUUAAUGUUGUGCAUGUGUGUAUGUAUAUAGGGCUGAUGUUUUGGGACUAGAUGAGCUUUGGGGACUCGUUUCUGGAGAGACUGAUUCUCCUUCUCUUAACAGCCAUUGGUUGCCUGAAGUUUAAUUUAAUUAGCAUUAUUAUUAUUAUUUUUAAAGUCAGAGGCAUACUAUGUAGUUAUGGCUGGCAUUGAACUCACAGAGAUUAUAUGGCUGUCUUUAGAUAUUUGGGCUUCUGAUUUCUUAUGAAUUAUCAGAACUAUACAUAUUGAUAUAUCUGCCUCCCGAGUGCUGAUAUGAAAGGCAUGUGUUAUCAUACCUAAACAAAAACUAAAUACAUAAAUUCAUAUGCAUACACAUAAUUUAUUGUGUGUGUCUGUGCAUGCCCAUGCAUACAGGUGCAUCUCAUCACACACCUUCAUAGUCAAGGUCAAGGUCAGGAGUCUGCUUGCUGUUGCUACCAUGUGAGUUCCAGGAUUGAAUUUAGGUCAUCCGACUCAGCAGCAGGUACCUUUAAUUGCUGAGACUUCUCUUUGGCCCAAGUUCCUAGGUCUGAAUGGCUUAAUAAAGGUAAAACAGCAUGUGCUACAUCAUAUCUGUUAUGCAGAUUCUCAUAGACGAGAUCUGUAGACUCUUCGUAGUUUCUUUUGACUUUGGCUACUAUCUAGGGUUAAGGAAUACCGUCUGUAAAAUAUUAAUAUAUGAAAAUCACAAGAAUCUCAUGACAGUUAUAAUGUUUAAAUAGAAUAAAUUAAAAAGUGUCUGUUCAUGCUUUAUUUAUGUCUCAUUGUCUGCAAAGAGAUUGGCCCAGAGUAGCAAGGGAGAUUAUCUGGAGAGAAACACAUAUAAUUUCCUUUAAGAUUUGGUUAAAGAAAAUGAAAUUUGAGUUAGUGAACGAGAUAAGUAGACAAAGACUACAUUUGACAUUAACAUGGCGUGUGCAUUGCAGGCUGUACCAGACUUAUCAAAAGAAAAAAAAAAAAUCGGCUUAGCAGACACACUGCUUGGCUGCCCCUGAGCAUUGAUUAGCAUCUGAAUGGUGGGAUGAAAAGAGCUGAAACCAAGCAUUCCCAAAAGAGGCGCAGUGAGGGUUUCUGCCAGAUGGAUUCAUUGUUAGAUACUCAAGGCCUGGCAUAGCUAGGACCUCUCUGGUCAGCAGCGCCACUGAAUCCAAUUUCUUAGGCUUCUUGUGGCUGUGCGAGCCUCAGCCUUGCAUGGCUUGAAACCUGAUCUACUUUUCUUCUCUUUCCAUGCUCUUCCUAACAAAGCUGGAAAGCCUAUUGUGAGACUCGAAGGACGUUCUAUGAAGUCACUCCAAAACUCGUUACAGGGCCAUGUACAUUGUACGUGCUUUGAUGCUCAACCUUGCCCAACCUUUCUUUGUAAUACACACACACACACACACACACACACACACACACACACACACUUUAAAUUCUCAUUCCACUGUGAUAUAGUGGUAAUUAAAGUUUUAGUCCUUUCCAUCAGUCCUUUGGAGAAAGUAUAUUAAAACAACAACAACAACAACAACAACAACAACAACAACAAUCUGUUAGCCUAAUAGAACUUGGCUUAGUCUUGGUUUCCUAGACAGUAGAGCCAGGAACUCUUGCUCUUCCAGGAGUACAGUCUUGGUGCAGCAAGAUCGAGGGAAGAAUGAGGCAAAGCAGGGAGAGAUGUCGGAUAUGAGGCAGGCACUCAUGAUUGAUUUGUAAACACAAGCAGCAUUGUCUCUGUGGGAGCCAUCUGGAAAUACUCAGUCCGAACCAACAGAGGAAGGACAGGGGAAUCCUUUCUCUCUUUUUUUCCUUACCCUGUUAUUUUCACGGGUGAGCCUUUGCACGUAGCCCUCAUGGGUCCUGCUACUUGGGCAUGUGUGCAUGGCUGCUGGAGAGUCAGAUCUUACGACCCAUGGAGUAGAAUAAGACCACAGCUUGCCAAAGAGAAGAUCGAAGGUUGCCAUAUCUGCACGUCAGUCACACCGGGAGAGCCUCAGGUCUUCCUCGGGAAGGAUAAGGCCUUUACUUUUGAUUAUGUGUUUGACAUUGACUCCCAGCAGGAGCAGAUCUACACCCAGUGCAUCGAAAAGCUCAUUGAAGGCUGUUUUGAAGGCUACAAUGCCACCGUGUUUGCCUAUGGACAAACCGGAGCUGGGAAAACCUACACGAUGGGAACCGGAUUUGACGUGAACAUCAUGGAGGAAGAGCAGGGCAUCAUCUCUCGUGCUGUUAGACACCUGUUCAAGAGUAUUGAUGAGAAAAAGACCUCAGCGAUUAAAAACGGGCUGCCCCCUCCUGAAUUCAAAGUGAAUGCCCAGUUCCUAGAGCUCUAUAAUGAAGAGGUCCUUGACUUGUUUGAUACCACUCGGGAUAUUGAUGCAAAAAAUAAAAAAUCAAAUAUAAGAAUUCAUGAAGAUUCAACUGGAGGAAUUUAUACUGUGGGCGUCACAACACGCACUGUGAAUACAGAACCGGAGAUGAUGCAGUGUCUGAAGCUGGGCGCUCUCUCGCGCACCACGGCCAGCACCCAGAUGAACGUACAGAGCUCUCGUUCACACGCCAUCUUUACCAUUCACGUGUGUCAAACCAGAGUGUGUCCCCAAACAGAUGCUGAGAACGCAACUGAUAAUAAGCUGAUCUCCGAAUCGUCGCCAAUGAAUGAGUUUGAGACGCUGACGGCGAAGUUUCACUUUGUUGAUCUGGCGGGAUCGGAAAGACUGAAGAGAACCGGAGCUACAGGCGAGAGAGCAAAAGAGGGCAUUUCCAUCAACUGCGGGCUUUUGGCUCUUGGGAAUGUAAUCAGCGCCUUGGGGGACAAGAGCAAGAGAGCCACCCAUGUCCCUUACAGAGACUCUAAGCUGACAAGACUCUUGCAGGAUUCCCUUGGGGGUAACAGCCAAACCAUCAUGAUAGCAUGCGUCAGCCCUUCAGACAGGGAUUUCAUGGAGACGUUAAACACUCUGAAGUACGCCAAUCGAGCGAGAAAUAUCAAGAACAAGGUGAUGGUCAAUCAAGACAGAGCCAGUCAGCAAAUCAACGCGCUGCGGAGCGAGAUCACGCGCCUUCAGAUGGAGCUCAUGGAAUACAAAACCGGUAAAAGAAUAAUUGACGAGGAAGGCGUGGAAAGCAUCAAUGACAUGUUUCAUGAGAAUGCUAUGCUGCAGACGGAAAAUAAUAAUCUGCGUGUAAGAAUAAAAGCCAUGCAGGAGACCGUUGAUGCACUGAGGGCCAGAAUCACGCAGCUUGUCAGUGAGCAGGCCAACCAAGUUCUUGCCCGAGCAGGUGAAGGGAACGAAGAGAUCAGUAAUAUGAUUCAUAGUUAUAUCAAAGAAAUUGAAGACCUCAGGGCAAAAUUAUUAGAAAGUGAAGCAGUGAACGAGAACCUUCGGAAGAACUUGACCAGAGCCACGGCGAGAUCUCCUUACUUCAGUGCCUCCUCAGCUUUCUCGCCUACUAUACUGUCUUCAGACAAGGAGACUAUCGAAAUUAUAGAUCUAGCAAAGAAAGACUUGGAGAAGCUAAAACGGAAAGAGAAGAAGAAGAAGAAAAGGCUACAGAAACUUGAGGAAAGCGGUCGAGAAGAAAGAAGUGUUGCCGGGAAAGACGAUAAUGCAGACACUGACCAGGAGAAGAAAGAAGAAAAGGGUGUUUCAGAGAAAGAAAACAAUGAGCUAGACGUGGAAGAGAAUCAAGAAGUGAGUGACCACGAGGAUGAGGAAGAGGAGGAAGAGGACGAGGAGGAAGAGGAUGACAUUGAAGGAGAAGAAAGCUCUGAUGAAUCAGAUUCCGAAUCUGAUGAAAAAGCUAACUAUCAAGCCGACUUAGCAAAUAUCACCUGCGAGAUUGCGAUUAAGCAGAAGCUGAUCGACGAACUGGAGAACAGCCAGAAACGGCUGCAGACCCUGAAAAAGCAGUACGAGGAGAAGCUGAUGAUGCUCCAACAUAAGAUCCGGGACACGCAGCUGGAGAGGGACCAGGUGCUCCAGAACCUAGGCUCGGUGGAGUCAUACUCGGAAGAAAAGGCCAAGAAAGUGAAGUGCGAAUAUGAGAAGAAGCUCCACGCCAUGAACAAAGAGCUGCAGCGACUGCAGACGGCCCAAAAGGAGCACGCCAGGCUCCUCAAAAACCAGUCUCAGUAUGAAAAGCAGCUCAAGAAACUGCAGCAAGACGUCAUGGAAAUGAAGAAAACCAAGGUUCGUCUAAUGAAGCAGAUGAAAGAAGAGCAGGAGAAAGCCCGGCUGACAGAAUCUCGAAGGAACCGGGAAAUCGCUCAGCUGAAGAAGGAUCAGCGCAAGCGAGAUCAUCAACUUAGACUUCUAGAGGCCCAGAAAAGAAAUCAAGAAGUAGUUCUGCGACGCAAAACGGAAGAGGUUACAGCUCUCCGCAGGCAAGUGAGGCCCAUGUCUGAUAAAGUAGCGGGAAAAGUUACUCGGAAGCUGAGCUCAUCCGAAAGCCCCGCUCCGGACACAGGUUCCAGUGCGGCUUCCGGGGAAGCAGACACAUCACGGCCAGGCACCCAGCAGAAAAUGAGGAUCCCCGUGGCAAGAGUCCAGGCAUUACCAACACCUACAACAAAUGGCACCAGGAAAAAAUAUCAGAGGAAAGGAUUCACUGGCCGGGUGUUCACUUCCAAGACAGCCCGCAUGAAGUGGCAGCUACUGGAGCGCCGGGUGACCGACAUCAUCAUGCAGAAAAUGACCAUCUCCAACAUGGAGGCGGACAUGAACAGACUCCUCAGGCAACGGGAAGAACUCACAAAAAGGCGAGAGAAACUUUCUAAAAGGAGAGAGAAGAUAGUCAAGGAGAGCGGAGAGGGAGAUAAAAGUGUGGCUAACAUCAUCGAGGAGAUGGAGUCCCUGACAGCCAACAUAGAUUACAUCAAUGAUAGCAUUGCCGACUGUCAAGCCAACAUCAUGCAGAUGGAGGAGGCAAAGGAAGAAGGGGAGACAUUGGAUGUCACCGCUGUCAUUAAUGCCUGUACACUGACAGAAGCUCGGUACCUGCUAGAUCACUUCCUGUCAAUGGGCAUCAAUAAGGGUCUGCAGGCUGCCCAGAAAGAGGCUCAAAUUAAAGUCCUCGAGGGUCGACUCAAACAGACCGAAAUCACCAGUGCAACCCAGAACCAACUCUUAUUCCAUAUGCUGAAGGAGAAGGCAGAGCUAAACCCAGAGCUGGAUGCCUUGCUAGGCCACGCACUGCAAGAUCUAGAUGGCGCCCCACCAGAAAACGAGGAGGACAGCAGCGAGGAAGAUGGCCCUUUACACAGCCCGGGGUCGGAGGGAAGCACGUUAUCUUCAGACCUUAUGAAGCUUUGUGGUGAAGUGAAACCAAAGAACAAGGCUCGAAGGAGAACCACCACUCAGAUGGAGUUGCUGUAUGCAGAUAGCAGUGAAGUAGCCUCAGACACUAGUGCAGGAGAUGCCUCCUUGUCUGGCCCUCUGGCACCUGUUGCAGAAGGGCAGGAGAUUGGAAUGAACACAGAGACAAGUGGUACUUCUGCUAGGGACAAAGAGCUUCUUGCCCCAUCUGGCUUACCUUCUAAGAUAGGCAGCAUGGUCUCACUAUGGAGCCGUGGAUGGCAUGGGAUUUGCUGUGUAGACCAGGCUAGCCUCUGGAUCUCAAGUGCUGAGAUUAGAGAUAUAAAUUAACAUGACCAACACCUUUUCAGACUCUUCUUUACCUUGAAACUAAUUGUAUGUCUGGGAUGAAUGGGGGUGAAUAAAUACUUUUCUUGUCAGUAAGAAUUGAAGAAGAAAGUCCCUAUUGAAAAGAUAUCUGUAACAGCAAGCUCUUCUAAAUAAAACAAGUGCUGCAUAGCACAUAGUAUAUGAACAUAUUCUCUUCACUUUUGUUAGGAGUGCGUGUGCGCCAGUGUACAUGUGUGCACCUGUGUGUGUGUUUGAGUGUGUGUCGGUAGUUACAUUAAAAUUAGAACUUUAUUUCCCUUUGUUUUAGAUUUUCAUUUAUUACGUGUGUAUAUGAGUGUUUUCCAUGUGAGUGUGUUGUGCCUAUAGAGGUCAGAAGAGCAGGUCUGAUAACCUAGAACUGUAGUUACAAAUGGUCAUGAGCCACCAUGUGGGUGUUGGAAAUUGAACUUGGGUCCUUUGAAAGAGCAGCCAGUGCUCUUACCCACUGAGCAAUCUCUCUAGCUCCCGACUUGUAAAGAUUUUUAGUGGUGCUUUUUGCAAACUAACUCUUAUGUAGCAAAUGAUUUCUGAUACGAAUGCACAUAUAUGAGAAACAUCACGCCUAAAGCAGCAUGCACUAUACAAUGCUACAGAUAAUACAAAGUAGAAUAAACUUGCUACGUGUGUCUGUUUCCCAUAACCUUCCUUUUGUGAAGGCACUCCCAUUCUCUUCCAUUCAGCAGUUGCAUCUACGAUCUUUAGUUAAUUAAUUUUAAUGACAGAAUUUUCCUGCAUGUGCUUGUGUGAUUAAUGUUGGAUGCUGCUAACCAGCGUAACCACGGCUUCAGUGCUGUGAUAGGACGAGGGCGCAACAGUUUUAGUCAAGGUAGUGACACCAAUAAGGGACAGCUAGAGACUUGCAUGUGUUCAGCGUUUAGUGUGCCUUACGACAGGCACGUUAAGAACUUCAGGACUAAGUCUGUGACCUGGAAUCUCCAUUCAGUUCCAGACAGUCAUCUCUAUCAGAAAAAAAAGUGCCAGAGCCUUCCCCUGUAACAAGGAGAAAGGCAUAUGAGAAGGCAGAUAAACCAAAGGCGAAGGAACAUAAACAAGGCAUAAUCAACCCAUUUCCUGCCUGCAAAGGAGUCAGAGCCUCUCCUCUUCAGUGCGUUCACAUAGCUGAAGGGCACACCAAGGCUGUGCUCUGUGUGGAUUCUACGGAUGAUCUUCUCUUCACCGGAUCAAAAGAUCGCACUUGUAAAGUAUGGAAUCUCGUGACUGGACAGGAAAUUAUGUCCCUGGGGGUUCACCCUAACAACGUGGUGUCUGUAAAAUACUGUAAUUAUACCAGUCUGGUCUUCACCGUGUCGACAUCUUAUAUUAAGGUGUGGGAUAUCAGAGAGUCAGCAAAAUGCAUUCGAACAUUAACAUCUUCAGGUCAAGUUACCCUUGGAGAAGCGUGUUCUGCCAGCACCAGCCGGACAGUAGCUAUUCCUUCCGGGGAGAGCCAGAUCAAUCAAAUUGCACUAAACCCAACUGGCACUUUCCUCUACGCGGCCUCUGGAAAUGCCGUCAGAAUGUGGGACCUUAAAAGGUUUCAGUCUACAGGAAAGCUAACCGGACACCUGGGUCCUGUUAUGUGCCUUACGGUAGACCAGAUCUCCAAUGGACAGGACCUCAUCAUCACUGGCUCAAAAGACCACUACAUCAAAAUGUUCGAUGUGACUGAAGGGGCUCUUGGAACUGUAAGUCCCACCCACAACUUCGAGCCUCCUCAUUAUGAUGGGAUAGAAGCACUGGCCAUUCAAGGCGAUAACCUAUUCAGUGGGUCCAGAGAUAAUGGAAUCAAGAAAUGGGACUUAGCUCAGAAAGGUCUUCUUCAGCAAGUCCCAAAUGCACACAAAGACUGGGUGUGUGCCCUGGGCCUGGUGCCAGGCCAUCCGGUUUUGCUGAGUGGCUGCAGAGGCGGCAUUCUGAAACUCUGGAAUGUGGACACUUUUGUGCCCGUUGGAGAGAUGAGAGGUCAUGACAGUCCCAUCAAUGCCAUUUGUGUUAACUCCACCCAUGUCUUUACUGCUGCUGAUGAUCGAACCGUGAGAAUCUGGAAGGCCCACAACUUGCAAGAUGGUCAACUCUCUGACACCGGCGAUCUGGGGGAGGAUAUUGCCAGUAAUUAACAUGGCUGGGCAGAAGCAGAAGCCGACACUGUGACGACGCUCCGUGUUCUUUAUUAAAAACGAUGUCCCGCACUUAUUACUAGUGGAAUCAACUGGAAACAUAUCUCAAUCCAUGGCUAGAUAAUGUGUAUCCUAAUAAAAUUGUUCUGCUUGUAUAUGAAAUAUUAAUAUCUACCAACACAUAGACUUCCUAAAAUCGAUAUAUUGCUUGAAUCACACUUUUACUGUGGCUGAAUUUUUUGUGCCUAGUUAUAAAAAAGACACUUCGAAUUAUUUGAGUUAUAAAUAGCUUUUGUGACAGGAGCAUACCCAGAAUAAAACACGCCUACCUGUUAACUCGUUCAAAUAAUGUGGUCAUAACUUACACAUUUAAGCGUAUAUUGGAAUUGUUAACUCAAAUUGUAGUCAAAAAAAAAAAAUCAGGAAUUUUGUCCGUGUAUAAGGGGUUCUAAGUUUCAAAGCUUGUUCAGUGUGAUGGAAUAACAAGAUGAAUUAUUGGUGAUUUUUCAUAAUCGAUGUGGUCUACUAAGAAAGAUAACAAUUUGUGCUAAAAUGCCCAUGUUUACCUGUAUUGACCAAAGCUUUCAGUUGUUCUUCAUUCUGUGCUCAGGAUUGAAAUGCUGCGUAGACGUUGUGUUGUUAGUGCUGGGCACGGAUUCUGGGACGGUGAGCUGUUGAUUUCCUAACAGAAAGAUAUUUUGAUCUAUUUUCCUAUGGAAUUGUUUCUAUUAUUAUCUUUUAAUUUCUUUUUUUAUUUAAUAGUAAUAGCUCCUUUCUCCUUCCUCUGAUUUUUAUAUGCUGCUAAAUAUAUUUUAAAUAUACUGUGUUUGCACACACUGGUAGCUAUGUGUUUGCACACAUUGGUAGACUGUUAUCAUUUGUGGUGGGAACCCAUGUAAAUAAGUAGACUGUAAAGAGAGACUAUCUUGCAUUAUGACUGUAUGAAUUUCUAAGUGCUGUUUGAUUGGGUUUUGUUACAGGAUGUAUAAUUUAUCUGUCUACUCAGAAUAUUAAUUUGUAAAUUCUGCAAGGUUAAUUUUAUGUAAUGGUAUAACUUUUGAAAUUAUUGUCUUAUGUUAUUUGUUUUUUUUUUUUUUUUGCCCUGAAAAUAUUUGUUUGUAAAUGAAAGUUUAGCUAGUGCUUAAAUAAACAUGUGCUAUGAAUUGUUUCUAUUA
Mus musculus (house mouse) is the source of this 16129-nucleotide RNA transcript. It is a transcript of the gene named kinesin family member 21A, with no coding region annotated. NCBI's taxonomy places the organism in Eukaryota, Metazoa, Chordata, Mammalia, Rodentia, Muridae. The transcript has 36 exons. The record is from RefSeq and is marked validated.